AAGGGUAUUAUAGAUAAUCAACACAUAAGAAUCAGUUUUGCAGCCAAAUAAUUUUACAAACUGAUUCUGAUUCUCGAGAAGAAUCAGGAGAAUCAGCUCCCAUGGAGAAUCAGGAGCAGAUCGGGGAGCGGAGCUCUACCAAACUUGCUCUAAAUGAAAAUCCCCUGGCAAAUCAAACAACAUAAGUGAAUGGAAGAUCCCUGGUGAGCACAACACCAAUAGUGAAUGAAAGAUCUUCGUUGAAGCAAACACCAUUAGUGAAUAAAAGACCACC
Molecule: long non-coding RNA, 274 nt
Filed under: Panicum hallii
Lineage: Eukaryota; Viridiplantae; Streptophyta; Magnoliopsida; Poales; Poaceae
Description: long non-coding RNA (PHAL_LNC000329)
Source: RNAcentral